This is a transfer RNA of Thecamonas trahens ATCC 50062, 74 nucleotides long. It matches the Rfam family "tRNA". From Rfam's summary of the family: Transfer RNA (tRNA) molecules are approximately 80 nucleotides in length. Their secondary structure includes four short double-helical elements and three loops (D, anti-codon, and T loops). NCBI's taxonomy places the organism in Eukaryota, Apusomonadida, Apusomonadidae. The record is from Rfam.
GCCGUUGUGGCCCAGCUGGUUAGGGCAUCUCCUUCCUAAGGAGAGGAUCGGGGGUUCGAAUCCCUCCAACGGUU